RNAcentral lists this unclassified non-coding RNA (64 nucleotides) under Pedobacter xixiisoli. RNAcentral describes it as "Flavo-1 RNA". The record is from RNAcentral. Lineage: Bacteria; Pseudomonadati; Bacteroidota; Sphingobacteriia; Sphingobacteriales; Sphingobacteriaceae.
AAAUAAACCCGAUUGCAACGACAGCCCCGAGGCACGAGGGCUAUAGUGGAAAGCGGGACUGCCU